Molecule: ribosomal RNA, 253 nt
Filed under: uncultured bacterium
Lineage: Bacteria
Description: partial 16S ribosomal RNA
Rfam family: Bacterial small subunit ribosomal RNA
Source: RNAcentral
UACGUAGGGUGCGAGCGUUAAUCGGAAUUACUGGGCGUAAAGCGUGCGCAGGCGGUUCGUUGUGUCGGCGGUGAAAGCCCCGGGCUCAACCUGGGAAUGGCCGUUGAAACUGGCGAACUGGAGUGUGGCAGAGGGGGGUGGAAUUCCGCGUGUAGCAGUGAAAUGCGUAGAGAUGCGGAGGAACACCGAUGGCGAAGGCAGCCCCCUGGGCUAACACUGACGCUCAGGCACGAAAGCUAGGGUAGCAAACGGG